AUUGUUCUAUUAUGUAUAUUUUUACUUAAAAAUACACCAAGCAUCCAAUUAUAGAAGGUAAGUAGAAAUACAAGAAUAAUCCUAUUAAAUCUAAUAGAAUCUUAAAUAACCUUAAAUGAAACUUAAUAAUCUUGAUUAAACUUUGACCAAUUCAAAAAUAAAUUUAAAAUAUAUUAUAAAAAAAUACAAAGAAUCUUAAAAAAUAAUAAAAAUAAAAAUCCUAAUAUAAUUUUAAUUAAAAUCCUAAUUUAAUCUUAAUCAAAUCCAAGAUCAAAUCCUAAGUCAAGCCCUAAUUGAAAUCUUUAUUGAACCUUAACCAAAUCUUAGGUCAAAUCUUAUUAAAAUCCCAAUUUAAUCUUAACUAAAUUCUAACUCAAAUCCUAAUCAAAUACUAAUCAAAUCCUAAAGCCUAAAAAAGUUCUAUAUUAAAUUCUAAGCAAAUCUUGGACCAAAUUCCGAAACCAAACCCUAAUC
This 474-nucleotide long non-coding RNA is filed under the name Physcomitrium patens. RNAcentral's name for it is "long non-coding RNA (PPAT_LNC000759)". Lineage: Eukaryota; Viridiplantae; Streptophyta; Bryopsida; Funariales; Funariaceae. The record is from RNAcentral.